RNAcentral lists this ribosomal RNA (245 nucleotides) under uncultured bacterium. Its description in RNAcentral is "partial small subunit ribosomal RNA". It matches the Rfam family "Bacterial small subunit ribosomal RNA", at positions 26 to 285 of the family's 1533-position model. The record is from RNAcentral.
AGAAUCAACGCUGGCGGCGUGCCUAACACAUGCAAGUCGAACGAGAAAGUGGAGCAAUCCAUGAGUAAAGUGGCGACCGGGUGAGUAACACGUGACUAACCUACCUUCGAGUGGGGGAUAACCUCGGGAAACCGAGGCUAAUACCGCAUAACAUCGCAAGAUCAAAGCCGAAAGGCGCUUGAGGAGGGGGUCGCGGCUGAUUAGCUAGUUGGUAGGGUAAUGGCCUACCAAGGCUUAGAUCGGUA